AGGGCAUACGGUGGAUGCCUAGGCACUAAGAGCCGAAGAAGGACGCGGUAAGCUGCGAAAAGCUACGACGAGCUGCAAGCAAGCAUAGACUCGUAGAUAUCCGAAUGGGAAAACCCGUAUGGAGUAAUAUCCAUACAUGCUAUGCUGAAACAAUAGGUAUAGUAAGGCAACCCGGGGAACUGAAACAUCUAAGUACCCGGAGGAAGAGAAAGAAAACUCGAUUCCCCCAGUAGCGGCGAGCGAAGAGGGAAAAGCCCAAACCAGCUUUUCGGAGUUGGGGUUAUAGGACUCUCAGGAUUGAUGGAUGCUUAGUCGAAUGGUCUGGGAAGGCCAAUCGUAGAAGGUAAGAAUCCUGUAGGCGAAAAGCAGAAAGAGAGGAGAGUAUCCUGAGUACCACGAGGCACGUGAAAUCUAGUGGGAAAUUGGGGGGACCACCCCCUAAGGCUAAAUACUCCUUAGUGACCGAUAGAGAACAAGUACCGUGAGGGAAAGGUGAAAAGAACCCCGGGAGGGGAGUGAAAAGAACCUGAAACCGUGUGCUUACAAGCUGUCACAGCACAAUAGUAGUGUGGUGGCGUACUUUUUGUAGAACGGACCUGCGAGUUGCGUUAUGAAGCGAGGUUAAGGCGGGAAGCCGGAGCCGAAGCGAAAGCGAGUCUGAAGAGGGCGAAAGUUUCAUGACGCAGACCCGAAACCGGGUGAUCUACCCAUGAGCAGGAUGAAGCGUUAGUAAAAUAACGUGGAGGUCCGAACCAGGCAUCGUUGAAAAGAUGUUGGAUGACUUGUGGGUAGGGGAGAAAUUCCAAUCGAACUCAGAGAUAGCUGGUUCUCCUCGAAAUAGCUUUAGGGCUAGCCUUAUUGUGGAGUUUUAUGGAGGUAGAGCACUGAAUGGACUAGGGGGCUUCACCGCCUACCGAAUCUUAUCAAACUGCGAAUGCCAUAAAAUGAUAAAUAGGAGUCAGACUGUGGGGGAUAAGCUUCAUGGUCAAAAGGGAAACAGCCCAGACCGCCAGUUAAGGUCCCAAAAUAAUGAUUAAGUGGAAAACGAUGUGAAAUCGCUCAGACAACCAGGAUGUUGGCUCAGAAGCAGCCACCAUUUAAAGAGUGCGUAAUAGCUCACUGGUCCAGGGGUUUUGCGCGGAAAAUGUAACGGGGCUCAAAUCAUUUACCGAAGCUGCGGAAUAUUGCAGAAGCAAUAUUGGUAGAGGAGCGUUCUUAACACGGAGAAGGCAUACCGGAAGGAGUGCUGGAGGGUUAAGAAGUGAGAAUGCAGGUAUAAGUAUGCGAAAAGGCAGGUGAGAAUCCUGCCCGCCGAAAAUCUAAGGAUUCCUGGGGAAGGCUCGUCCGCCCAGGGUAAGUCGGGACCUAAGGCGAGGCCGAAAGGCGUAGUCGAUGGGAAACUGGUAGAUAUUCCAGUACCACCGCUAAUUGCAUGAGAGAAGUAGUGACGCAGAAGGAUAGGCAGAGCGCCCAGUUGGUGAGGCGUUUAAGUAAGUAGGGUGUGAGAUAGGCAAAUCCGUCUCACGGGAAACCUGAGAUACGAAUACGAGGGAAAAUAAGUACCGAAGUCGCUGAUUCCCGGCUGCCAAGAAAAGCUGCUAUCGAGAUUAGAGGUGCCCGUACCGCAAACCGACACAGGUAGAUGGGGUGAGAAACCUAAGGCGCGCGAGAAAACUCUUGUUAAGGAACUCGGCAAAAUGAACCCGUAACUUCGGGAGAAGGGUUGCUUAUCAUGGUGAAGGAUAAACAUCUGGAGCUGAGAUAAGUCGCAGAGAAAAGGUCCAGGCGACUGUUUAGCAAAAACACAGGUCAUUGCAAAAGUGAAAGCUGAAGUAUAAUGGCUGACGCCUGCCCGGUGCUGGAAGGUUAAGGGGAAGAGUGAGAGCUUUGAACCGAAGCCCCAGUAAACGGCGGCCGUAACUAUAACGGUCCUAAGGUAGCGAAAUUCCUUGUCGGGUAAGUUCCGACCCGCACGAAAGGCGUAACGAUCUGGACGCUGUCUCAACAAGGGACUCGGCGAAAUUGAAAUACCGGUAAAGAUGCCGGUUACCUGCGAUAGGACAGAAAGACCCCAUGGAGCUUUACUGUAGCCUGAUAUUGGGUU
This 2104-nucleotide ribosomal RNA is filed under the name human gut metagenome. Its description in RNAcentral is "bacterial LSU rRNA". It matches the Rfam family "Bacterial large subunit ribosomal RNA", at positions 14 to 2123 of the family's 2925-position model. The record is from RNAcentral.